Molecule: ribosomal RNA, 381 nt
Filed under: Micrococcus luteus
Lineage: Bacteria; Bacillati; Actinomycetota; Actinomycetes; Micrococcales; Micrococcaceae
Description: bacterial SSU rRNA
Rfam family: Bacterial small subunit ribosomal RNA
Source: RNAcentral
CGGCGCUUCGGAUUAUUGGGCGUAAGAGCUCGUAGGCGGUUUGUCGCGUCUGUCGUGAAAGUCCGGGGCUUAACCCCGGAUCUGCGGUGGGUACGGGCAGACUAGAGUGCAGUAGGGGAGACUGGAAUUCCUGGUGUAGCGGUGGAAUGCGCAGAUAUCAGGAGGAACACCGAUGGCGAAGGCAGGUCUCUGGGCUGUAACUGACGCUGAGGAGCGAAAGCAUGGGGAGCGAACAGGAUUAGAUACCCUGGUAGUCCAUGCCGUAAACGUUGGGCACUAGGUGUGGGGACCAUUCCACGGUUUCCGCGCCGCAGCUAACGCAUUAAGUGCCCCGCCUGGGGAGUACGGCCGCAAGGCUAAAACUCAAAUGAAAUUGACGGA